Molecule: small nucleolar RNA, 131 nt
Organism: Nannospalax galili (Upper Galilee mountains blind mole rat)
Lineage: Eukaryota; Metazoa; Chordata; Mammalia; Rodentia; Spalacidae
Source: Ensembl
UAGCCAGCUAACUAAUCUGAUUAUCAGAAUGUGUAUCUUCAGAGAUUUAGAAAAAUCUGGAAACAGUAAGGCCAUGUUAUGAGCCUUAAAGAUAGCUAUAGUCAUUAACGUCCUUCGAAACAGCUAUAAUA